RNAcentral lists this long non-coding RNA (467 nucleotides) under Phascolarctos cinereus (koala). Its description in RNAcentral is "lncRNA (ENSPCIG00000035986.1)". Lineage: Eukaryota; Metazoa; Chordata; Mammalia; Diprotodontia; Phascolarctidae. The record is from RNAcentral.
CGGGAGUCCGGAAUGACCUUGAAAGUUAAAAGAAAAAAACUUAAAAUAAAAAAGAGGAGGAGAGGGAAAAAAGAAUGGUAGAUGUCCCUCUGCCUCCCUCAUCAGAAUGGGAGCUCCCUAGUGACAAGGAUGUUACUCUCUCAUCAGUGCAGGAGUUCCCUCAGAACCCAGUACAGAAUGAACGUGGGAAAUAAUGAGAAGAGGAACUUACUGAAAGCUGUUACUGAGAACUCACUUGCUGAAGCAGGUGCCUCUGGGAAGUGCUUGGAGAUCACAGCUUCCCUGAUCCCGACCUUAAUCCCCUGCUCAGCAUCCUGUCAGCUGGGCUGUUCUCAAGCUGACAUUGCUGCAGGCGCCUUCUCCGAAGCUUUCCCUCAGAUCUGCCUCCUCGGGGGACGUCUAAAGAGGAGCCUGAGAUUUCUCUGUUACAGGCUGGUUCACUCCGUGCCCUCAAGCGAAGCCAGAGU